This 6253-nucleotide long non-coding RNA is filed under the name Homo sapiens (human). RNAcentral describes it as "non-protein coding RAP2C-AS1:9". The record is from RNAcentral. Lineage: Eukaryota; Metazoa; Chordata; Mammalia; Primates; Hominidae.
CUCUUCGGGGCGAGCCGGGUGGCGCUGGAGCCGCGCCCUGCUGAGCGAGCGAGCCGGCCGGGGACGGUUUCGGGUCGGGACUCCGGCUUCGGGAACGGGCCUCUGGAAACCUGCGACGUCAGUCCUUACCCGCCCGCGGCUGCCGCGGACCGUCCCACCCCCAAACCCGUAGAAGCCCCUCCGACCUGCAACCUCCAGCCGCCCGGCCCUAGGACUUGAGCGGCUCCCUGGCCGGUGCGGAACCUGCGGGCUAAUAAUCUAGCGACCGGGAGAACGCCAAACAUCCCUGGACUAGAAGUUGCAGGGGAAAUCAAACAGCCCAGAAAGUUUAUUCUCCUUGCUGGUAUUUCUUCCACUUGCUAUUUUGCUGAGAGAUGCAUGCAAACUACCCUUAGACUUUCAGAUGCAGUGCGUUUUACUUAGCCGUGCCUGACAAACACACAGAACUUUUACCGUCUGGUAGAUCCGCCUUGACUUUACCAGCGAAUACUAAAGUCACUUAAAAAAAAAUCACAAGGCUCGAAAACAGCAGCAUUAGAAGUAGACUUUAUGGUACUCUGCUCAGCUAUGUUCUCAUUUGAUUCCAACCACUACACGGCAGAAAAGGAAAGAAGACUGAAUAAUGAUUGGAAGAACGCCGGAGUCAUCAAGCUCUUUUGAUAACUGCAUAUGUGAACUAGGUCAAGUCACUCUCCCUCAACGGAUCACCAGUUUACCCAACUGUAAAUGGCAACAAUUUUGAACUGAACGUUCUUCCUUCUACAGCCAAAAUUCUUCGUUUGCUAGGUUUGUGAAGUGCUUUUAUAUGUAUGAGCGCUUUCUUAACUAUGAAGAUAUCUGAGUCAUCGAACUUUUGGUGGGGGCAAUCUCAUGAUCAGUCAUGACUAGAUUUUAGAGUUUUCUCAUCCCCAUACUCAAAGUUUUUUUUUUAAGAAUAAAAAUGAAAAGAAACAAUACCCCACAAUAUUUCUGAGCCUCAAAGGACAGACUAAAAAAGCUAACUUUUAAAAUACUUCAUUUUGAAAUAAUUUUGAACUUACAAAAAAAUCGCAAAAAUAAUACCUGGAGUCCCUGUAUACCCUUCACCCAGAUUCCCCUACUGUUAAAUACUUACAUAACCAUAACACAAUUACCAAAACCAGGAAAUUAACACUGGUACGAGACUCUUAACAAGAGAUCUUAUUUGAAUGUCACCAAUUUUCUUCCUAAUGUUCUUCUGUUCUAGGAUCCAAUCCAGGUUCCCACAUGGCAUUUAUUCCUCACUUCUCCUUAGUCUCCUCCAAUCUGUGACACUUUCUAAGUCUUUCCUUGUCUUUCAUGACCAUGACACUUUGGAUGAGUACUGGUCAUUUAUUCUGUAAAAUGCCUCUCACUUUGUGUUUGUUGAAUGUUUUCUCAUGAUUAGACCGAGACCAUGUCUUUUUGGCAGGAACAUCACAGAAAUGGUGUGUAUCCUAUCUGAGGGUAUGUGAUAUUGAUAUAUCUUAUCACUCAUUAUGUUAACCUUAAACACCUGGUUAAAGUGGCAUCUGCUGGGUUUCUCCACUGUAAAGUGACUAUUUUCCCUUUAUUUAUUUAUUUUAGAAACAGGGUCUUGCUGUGUUGCCCAGGCUGGAGUGCAGUGGCACAAUCACUGCUCACUGCAGCCUCAAUCUCCCAGGCUCAAGCGAUCCUCUGCCUCCUGAGUAGCUGGGACUACAGGCAUGCACCAUUAUGCCCAGUUAAUUUUUUUAAAAAUGUUUUGUAUAGACAGGGUCUCGCUAUAUUGCCCAGGCUGGUCUCAAACUCCUGGCCUCAAAAGAUCCUCCCACCUCGGCCUCCCAAAGUGCUGGGAUUAAAGGCAUGAGCCAGCCACCAUGCCUGGUCUAUUUUUUAUUGAUAAAUGAAAUAGACCAUGCCUGUUCUAUUUUUAAUUGAUAAAUAUCCUGGGAGAAAUACUUUGGGACAAUGCAAAUAUCCUGUUUCUCCUCCAACUUUUACCCACUGAUUUCAGCAUAUAUCAGUGGAUCUUGCCUGCAACCAUUAUUACCAUGGCAUUUGCCUACUAGUGAUUUUGUGUUUCCUUCAUUUGUUCUCCAUUUAUUAAUUGGAAUUCUUCUGUAAGGAGGAGUUGUCCCUUCUCCCCAACUUAUCCAUUUAUUCAAUUUUUUUUGUAAACUAUGGACUCAUGGGCAUCUAUUUUAUUCUAUGAGCUAUAAUUCAAUACUGUCAUCAUUUAGUUUCUUGCUCAAGUUAUUCUAACUUCAGCCAUUGGGAGCUCCUUCAGACUGGCUACUAUGCUGUCUUGUCAUGCCCCCACCCUUUCUCUAGCACUUUCUUACAUUCUUACACCAAAAGACAUUACAGCCUCAUCUUGUAUUUUCCCUGCUUCUGUCCAGAAUUAGCCAUUAUUCCAAAGAUCCCGAGUUCCUUUAUUGGAGAAUGAUAUUAGACACAAAGAUGUGGGUACUAAGUAUACUCGUUGCUGUUGGGGUGUUAAUUGCUUCUAGGGCUUCCCAAGACAGAGCUAGGAAAUGAAAGCAUACAUAAUAACCCAUGCAUACACACAGAUCAAUAUCUAUUCCUGUAUCUAUCUGUAUACAUACUCAUGUGUCCUUUCUAAUCCACACCACGGUAUUCAUCCUAACCUUCCCUUUUUAUUUUUAACUUUUUUCCUCUGAUAGUGAGAAAAUAGGCUCUCAUUAUCUACUCUAUAUACAUUUAUUUGUUCAACCUCAGUAUCUACAUACUUACAUAUGCCUGUGAGGAACAGAUUUACUAACUAGAAUCCUGUAUUUGUGUGCAAUUCUUUUUAUCUUUAUUAUAAAUAUAGCACCUCCAGGCUUCUUUUUAUUAGUGUCAGCAUGACAUAGCUUUUCCCAUCUUUUUACUGUUAAUAUUUUAAACUCAAAAAAAGCAAGGAGGAAAACAGUAUGCUACUAUCUGUGUGAAAAUGGAAAAUAAGUAUGGAUAUAUUUGCUCAUAUGUAUAUAUAUAAUAUCUAUGGGAGAGGGAAAACCAAAAUAUCAGUUUGGAGGUCAACUGAUUAACUGGGGAAAAGAGAUGAGGGGAAAACUUCGCUGCAUACUCUACUAUCGUUGAAAUUUCUUAAACUUUUUCAUUGAGUAUAAUUCACAAAUCAUAAAACUCACCCUUUUAAAGUCUACACAUCAGUAGUUUUUAACACAUUUAUAUACAAAGUUGUGUAACUAUCAUCACUAAUUCCAGGACAUUUUCAUCACCCUUAAAAAAAAAGCCAUGUACCCAUUAGUAGUUAAUUCCCAUACCCCUCACCCCUCACUCACCCAUCUACUGCCCUUCACAAGACCCUGGCAACCACUAAUCUGCUUUCUGUCUCUAUGGAUUUGCCAACUCUUGAUGUUUCAUAUAAAUGGAAUCACACAAUAUGUGACCUUUUAUGUCUGGCUUCUUUCACUUAACAUCAUGUUUUUAAGGUUCAUCCAUGUUGUAGCAUGGAUCAGUACUUUGUUCCUUUUUGUAGCUGAGUAAUAUUACAUUGUAUGUAUAUACCAUAUUUUGUUGAUGUACUCAUUAGUUGACUGUUUUUCUAAAUUUUUGAAUUAUGAAAAUAUCCAUUCAAAAAUUAAACUUUAAAAAAUAGAAACAAAAUGAAAAAGCCCUUCUCAUAAAAAACAGAAAAAUGUAAAAAAAAAAAAUCAAGCAAAUAAUGUAUGAAAAAUAACAACAUACAGAAAAGCUUCUUUGACAUUUGCCAGGACUCACAGACUCAAUAGCAACUUACACUCGCAACUAAAAUUUAUUACAGCUUGGAAUACAGAGGAAAAGUAACAGGAAAAAUAUACGUAUCAGUAGAAUCAAGAGAAGCCCAGCACAAGCUUCCAAUGUUCUUCCUAGUUCGAAGCCACAUGCACAAGGACUCUCUCUCUCUAGCAGCAAACUACAGAGGCAUGUAUGGAAUGUCUCCACCCUGGGAAGCCCAGUUCUAGUCUCAAGGUCUGAGGUGCAGAUGGGUCCUGGUCACAUAUGCACAGCCUGCUACCAACUGGCCAUGGCAACUGUAAUGCAGGACCCUAACAAUGAAUCAGUCAUCAAUCUUGAUCUUGAGCAAAGCAACCCUGACAAGCUGUUAUGGCAUGGUCCAUUGUUCCAGGUGUAUACAACACAAUAACCAAUCAGUGACAAAAUGAAUGGUGGCCACAUUCCCAGGGGAUAGUUAAGGUUUCCCUGGGAGACAUGCAAAGAGUAAGCCACCAAACCUGCUAUAUUAACUCUUUCCUCACAUGAGAUUUCUUUAUUGCUAAUUCCCCAUCACUGGGGUAUGAACUGGAGUUGAGGUACAAGUCACAGAAAUAAGGGAGUGAAGAAUAGGGAUUGGGCACCAUUUGACUUCUACUUCACCUAUAAACAGGAGUUAUUUGUCUUCGUGGAAAUUAUUCUCUUUUCCACUUAAAAAAUAUAAAGACUAGACACCUCUGCUUUGUGUGGGCUUGCUUUCCCCCGAUUAUGUCAACCUUUCCAGCUCCUGGAACAGGAUCCAAAGUCCUCAGCAUGAUACACAGAGCCCCACCUGAUCUCCCCACCCCCGGGACCUCCCUGCCCUCAUCUCCCACUGCCCUCCCCCUUCAUGGCUCUGCUCCAGCCACGCUGGGGAUCUUGAGUUUCCUCACACACACCAGGCUGCCGCCAGCUUCAGGGCCUUAGCUGUCGCCAUUCUCUUUGCCUGGAAUGUUCUUAGAAAUCCUCUUCACUGUCCCCUCAUCUCCUGCAUGCCUCUCCUCAAAGGUCACCUCACUGGAGGCCUCCUGGCCACUGUAUCUAAAACAGUAGCCCCUGCCAUUCUCUGCACCCUUUCCUCACACCUGACAAUGUAUUGUUAUCCUGAAUAUUUAAUUAUUUUUUACCUGCUCCUCCUCCAACUCCCAAUGAGAAUGUCUGCACCAUGGAGGCAGGGACUGUUUCUGGUUCACGGCUAAGUCCCAAGGCCAUGAACAAGAAGGGGACAGCUGUCACACUCUGCAGUAGUAUAUGAUAGGCACACACAUAUCACAUCACUUCUAGGACUGCUCACUCUCCAGUGUUCUGUCUUUCCAGUGGCUUGUUGCUGCUAUUUUCUCUGUCAUGCUCUUGGUCCAUUUUCCCUUGCUCUCUUUCUUAAUUGACUAUAAUUAUAGAAGUACAUUACCAAUCACUUCUAAGAUGAACACUUGUUCACUUUUUAACAUCUAGGACAUUGGGAUGCCCAUUACGAUCAAUGGCAUAUUGUAGGGGAUGAUGAAUAAAUGGGGGACAUAGUUAUCAGUUUUUACAAAAGAAAAACUGGUCAUGUUACAGUGGAGAAAUCCAGUAGAUGCCACUUGAACCAGCUAAUUAAAGUUAACAUAAUGAAUAAGAUAUAUCAAUAUCCCAUACCCUCAGAUGUCAUGCACAUCAUUUCUGCGUGUGGGUUUCUUUUUUAUUUGUCAAAACCACAUGAUCUCAGUCUAAUCAUGAGAAAACAUUCAACAAGCACAAGGUGAGAUGUAUUUUACAGAAUAACUGACCAGUAUUCAUCCUAAGUGUCAUGGUCAUGAAAGACAAGGAAAGACUGGGAAAGUGUCACAGGUUGGAGGAGACUAAGGAGAUAUAAGGAAUAAAUGCCAUGUGGGAUCCCAGAUUGGAUCCUGGAACAGAAAAAUAACAUUAGGAAGAAAAUUGGUGACAUUCAAAUAAGGUCUUGAGUUUACUUAAGAAUCUUGUACCAGUGAUAAUUCCCUGGUUUUGAUAACUGUGCAAUGCAUGGCAUGUAAGUUGUUGACAUUAGGGGAAUCUGGAUAAAAAGUAUACAGGAGUUUCCUGUAUCACUUUUGUAACUUUUCUGUAAGCCUAAAAUUAUUAAUAUUUCAAAAUAAAAUGUUUAAAAGGCGAGGCUGAACUAUCAAUAUGUAUUUGUUUGGGUACCAUUAGGUCGGUGCAGAAGUAAUUGCAGUUUUUGCCAUUGCUUUCAUGGCAAAAAACACAAUUACUUCCGCACCAACCUAUAAUUGUAAUUCUAUUUUCCUUUCAAAAGAGGUUUUUGAAAUGUCCAAAAUAGCAUUGACUUUUACCAGUCAAAGAUACUUCCCUUUAAAGGUUAGCAUCAUAGAAAAUAGAGAUCCUUAAAUAAAAUGUUAUUUUCCUUGACUCUCAAGAUGACAGCUGCUGCUUAUGUGUCUUUAUAGUGUAGACAGACCUCUCUGAUGGAGCUGAUAAAUGGUGCUAAGUCUUGCAUAAUCCAGUGACCCUUGGGAUUGUGUUGCUAGGCAUCUAGUUUCUG